AACCGCGGUUAGACGAGAGGCCCUAGUUGAUUAACCCACGGCGUAAAGGGUGGUUAUGGGAAUUUAAAGGAUAAAGCCAAAUAGCCCCUUGGCCGUCAUACGCUCCUGGAAGCCCGAAGCCCAAGCACGAAAGUAGCUUUAAAAAAUUACCUGAAUCCACGAAAGCUGAGGAA
RNAcentral lists this ribosomal RNA (173 nucleotides) under Barilius bakeri (Malabar baril). Its description in RNAcentral is "partial 12S rRNA". The record is from RNAcentral. Lineage: Eukaryota; Metazoa; Chordata; Actinopteri; Cypriniformes; Danionidae.